This 101-nucleotide microRNA precursor is filed under the name Marmota monax (woodchuck). The record is from RNAcentral. Lineage: Eukaryota; Metazoa; Chordata; Mammalia; Rodentia; Sciuridae.
AGUAAGAUAACUGAGUCAAAUGUAGUUCCAUUCCAAGUUUUUUAAGGAAUCUCCACACUGCUUUACAGAGUGGCUGCACUAUUUGCAAUCCCACCAGCAAU